CUUCUGCGUCGCUCACGCUGGGAGCUGUAGACCGGAGCUGUUCCUAUUCGGCCAUCUUGGCUCCUCCAGGCCAAUUUACUUUCAAAAAUACCUGCAUCCAGGAACUCUCAUGCUAGCAGGAUGAGGUAAUGACUAUUUCCCAUACUCGUGUCAACUUUGAGCAAUGCUAGGAAUUUCCAUAUGUCCAAACAACUGUUUAUCAGGAAAUGCAACAAGGUACUUUUGACACUGAGCGUGAAAGGAACUCAUUGAACCAAAAUCUUCCAAAAAGACUGGAACAUAAGAGAGCGGAUGAAGAGCAUAAUAGAAGAGAAGUGCCAGGGAGGAGGAUUAUCUUAGGCAGAGCACACUGAGGAUGGAGAGUUACCAGCCCUCCCGAGCUGUCGUUGGCACUGAACCAAUGAGAGCCAUUCAUGUGCCUGUCUGUGCCUUGUGUUUUUCUUCUUCAACAUAUACUUUAGAACAUCCAUUCUGUGCAAAGCUCUGUGCCCACAGCUGUUGAGAUGCCAGAUGCAUGCUGUUCCCUGCCCUGAAGACCCCAGCAGUCAGGCCAGGGAGAGAAGACAUUCUUAGACAACCCAACAGUCGUCCCUGGGGAAAGCUCCUCAAAGGCUCGAAGCCAGCCUGAGUGGGCCACUUGAAGAGCCACGGGCUGUGGGAAGAUACGGAGAGGCUACUCCGACGUGGGGAGGAGGAAGCACGGUUUCGGGGAAGUGGCCAAGUGGCUUAAGUGAGGAGGGUCUGCUUGAAGGUGGCAGGUCUGCUUGAAGCGGCUUCCUGAAGAGGUGAGCUUAUCACCGGCAUCCUGUGUCCCUUCAGGUUCCCUGAGAACUGGGUCAAGAAAGCAGGUUGGGGUAGGAAACAAACGACACCCCCAUUUCAAACAAUAACUUUUAUUUUAUACUUCUCUAUACUUUGUAGCAAAUCUUUUUUUGCUGAAUUUAAUUUAUAAUAAACUUUUUAAAUUACAUCUCUCUCUCUUUUUUUUUUAAAAUCAAGGCUCUUUUAUGUCAAAAUCUUUUUUUAGCUAUAUUUUAGAUUAACAUUUAACAUCCCCCCCUUGUGAUCUAUACCGUUGGAUAUUCAGGUAUUACUGUGUGUGUAACAGCUAAAACAAGAGGGAGGAGGGAAAAUAAAGGCAGUGAACUUGGACGGAUGCAUCAACAACAGCAGAUAAAGCUAACCCCUCAGUGACCAUAGCAGCAUGUCUUCUGGAAGCCUUUACUCUUACCCCAGAGAUUUCCUCAGCCCCUUCCCUCUCUCCCUCCUAUCCUCCAAACACAAAGCCAACAGUCUGUCCUUUCGCUUUUCUUGAGGAGAAAUGUGCAGUGGAAAUGAUCAAAACAAGAUACUGUGGAAGAACGACGUGAGCGUGAAUUAUUCACCGUAUGUUUCGUCCGUGGACAUCUCUCUUGAAUUCAUUCCCCUGGCCUUCUCCUCUCCUCGCCUUCCUAUUAGGAGGAGCCCAUCAUUUUUCAUGUUACUAGCAUGAUUAAUAUAGUAGGUGGCCCAGGGCCGUUCCUGAGAUUCUUUUGC
This 1536-nucleotide long non-coding RNA is filed under the name Homo sapiens (human). Its description in RNAcentral is "HSALNT0332041". Lineage: Eukaryota; Metazoa; Chordata; Mammalia; Primates; Hominidae. The record is from RNAcentral.